Molecule: long non-coding RNA, 644 nt
Organism: Ictalurus punctatus (channel catfish)
Lineage: Eukaryota; Metazoa; Chordata; Actinopteri; Siluriformes; Ictaluridae
Source: Ensembl
UGCAGGCUUGAUGUAUAGCCCAAAGACAGUUUUGGAGGGGACUGUAUUUAUUAGACAACCUACUUGUAAAAGUGCCAAAUCAGAAGUACAGAUUUAACUGUGAGAGGAAAAAGAAAACACAGUCUGAUGAUUUCACAGACACUCGUCAGUCAGAAUUAACCAAACAGAUGCUGAAAAACAACAAAGCCAUACUUAAGGAUGAAGAGUGGCAAGGACACAGAGAGACACAACUGUCACAGCAGGAGGAGGGACAGGUGUGUGAGGAUCCAAACACAAAUAAGGCUUCACCCAGCCUAUUAGAGUUCCAGAAUAGCACAACAGAACUUGGAUCUGCAAAGGGAUUACAAUCCAUGUCUGAUUGUGAAGAAGCCGAAUUCAGGCACAGUGUUUAUCAUGCAAGCACUGUGGAGGGAACUGACCGAUAUGAGGUAAAAGCAGAAAUUGGGCUGAAUCAGGAUGGACAGUCAUCAGAAGAGGAAGUGGAGGGGGACUGUGCAGAAAGUGAGAAUCACUCCAUCCUUCCAUCGUCUGUUCUCAGUAAAGCAAGUGUCAUUGCUGAACAUUUUAUUGCUAAUGCUCGCCGCAGUAGUGCAGCACCAGAUGAGCUUCGUCUCCUCAGCGAAUUCAACAGGAAGUAACAUCAA